UGGGGGUUAGAAAAGUGAUUUACUCCCCUUUUUCCAGUGCCAUGUGGAACUCCUCACUUCUGACCCUGCCGAGAUCGACCUCCUUGGCUAACACAAUCAGAAUUAAUGAUCUAAGCCAAUCAAAAUGCUUUCCCAUUGGAAAGCAUUGGAUUUGCUGUUAUCGUCAAUUCUGAAGAUCUCAGUCAAGUAGGUGGAACCAAACGCAGACUUGGCCAAUCAGCAUCUCCU
This is a non-coding RNA of Pelobates cultripes (western spadefoot toad), 228 nucleotides long. The record is from the annotation of a GenBank genome assembly. NCBI's taxonomy places the organism in Eukaryota, Metazoa, Chordata, Amphibia, Anura, Pelobatidae.